This is a non-coding RNA of Pelobates cultripes (western spadefoot toad), 709 nucleotides long. Lineage: Eukaryota; Metazoa; Chordata; Amphibia; Anura; Pelobatidae. The record is from the annotation of a GenBank genome assembly.
UCUUGUACUCAGCUAUAGUCAAAACCUUUUGACUUAAUUUCUCCAUUCAGAUUUAUUUUAUGAAAAUUCUGUGUGUAGUAAAUAACCCUCUGCCUCCAUCAUCAUAGCGUCUUUAUUUGUUCACCCAGCAGUGUGUGUUUUGGUUUUAAAAGCUGUGUAUAAUAUGUGCGGUGUUGCUGAUCUGGCCCGGCCUGGCUAUCGGGCAAACUGGGCUAAUGUCUGGUGGACCGCGAUGGCCAUUUGCUGAGGCUGAAAGGAAAUCAAAGGAUCUCCCCAUGCGGCCCUUGUAGAACUGGUCUACCUGUCUGCCUUCACAAGUUGGUGGGGAAAUCUACAUCACACACACACCACCCCUCACACACAAUGUGCCUCUCACACACACCACACAUACACACACUGGAUUACCUAUAGACAUUACAUUCCUUAUACACACACUGCACCACCUACACAUACACACACACACAGACACACACACACACACACACUACAUCCCCUACAUACUACAUCCCCUACACACACACUGGAUCUCUUAAAUAUACUAGAUUCCCUACAGACAUACACUGUACCACCUACACACACUGCAUCCCCUAUACACACUUUGUAUCACAUAUGCAAACACUAAAUCCCCUGAACACAAACACACUAUAUUCUCUAAACACACACUCUCUACAGCCUCUACACACUACAUCACACAUAUACUACAGUCACG